UACGUAGGUGGCAAGCGUUGUCCGGAUUUAUUGGGUUUAAAGGGUGCGUAGGCGGGCAGGUAAGUCAGUGGUGAAAUCUUCGAGCUUAACUCGGAAACUGCCUUUGAUACUAUCUGUCUUGAAUAUGGUGGAGGUAAGCGGAAUAUGUCAUGUAGCGGUGAAAUGCUUAGAUAUGACAUAGAACACCUAUUGCGUAGGCAGCUUACUACACGAUCAUUGACGCUGAGGCACGAAAGCGUGGGGAGCAAACAGG
This 253-nucleotide ribosomal RNA is filed under the name uncultured bacterium. Its description in RNAcentral is "partial 16S ribosomal RNA". It matches the Rfam family "Bacterial small subunit ribosomal RNA", at positions 524 to 776 of the family's 1533-position model. The record is from RNAcentral.